AAUAAGUGUAAGACAAUUAGUUUCCGUAAAUUUUAUUAGAUCAGACAAGUAACUAGACAACAUUUAUAAUGACUAAAAUUUUACAGCAUGUACCAACAAAUUAAUGACAGGACAGUUACAGUUAGACGAAACACAAGACCAAAAACGACCAAAUUAGUUUCCCCCUGAAGAAGACACUAACCCCGUGUCGAAACGUUGGGCAAGUAA
Aedes albopictus (Asian tiger mosquito) is the source of this 207-nucleotide long non-coding RNA. RefSeq lists it as uncharacterized. The transcript has 2 exons. NCBI's taxonomy places the organism in Eukaryota, Metazoa, Arthropoda, Insecta, Diptera, Culicidae. The record is from RefSeq and is a predicted model, not a curated record.